Non-coding RNA from Gasterosteus aculeatus aculeatus (three-spined stickleback), 1874 nucleotides. The record is from RefSeq and is a predicted model, not a curated record. Lineage: Eukaryota; Metazoa; Chordata; Actinopteri; Perciformes; Gasterosteidae.
CACACAGACGGGUCACAGUCAGACAGACAGACGGGUCACAGUCAGACAGACGGACGGGUCACAGUCAGACAGACGGGUUAGUCAGACAGACGGGUUACAGUCCCAGCAGAGUUUUGGCAGCCUGACUCUGAGCCUGAAGAGUCUCGCUGGCGUAACGCUGCAGCAGCUCCAUCUUCUUCCUCCUGACCAGAGCCUCCUCCACCUGAGAGAUCAUUUGCAGGUUAAAAAAACACUAAUUCCCCAUCAGCUCCUGUUUUGUGUCUACUGUCACGCACCAACCGGCAAGACAAAUUCCUUGUACGUUUGACAUAUUUUGGCAAUAAAUGUUUCCUGAUUCCUGAGAAACAGGAUCAUGUGACACAUUGACCCGUGUUUCAAAGACCAUUUUACCCAUUGCAACAAGAAGAGGAACUAGUAACUGCGAUAUCUCGCGGUUUGGGGAUUUUGGUGUCUGUUUGGUUCUGACAUGCAGCAUGUGAACGACGGGCCUCACAGACACCUCACACGUGUGUGUGUGUGUGUGUGUCUCACCUCUUUCUGUGAGGGAACAGGUACGUGUGCGAGGAAGGUGACCUCUUCUCCCUCUUGGUCCUCCCGGAUCUCCUCCUCAUCAGGCUGCGCAGACACAGAAAACAAAAGGAUUCAAUCAUCAGCAACACGUCUGUCCACAGUUCUACUUUCCUCCACAGCUUGUGGGAUGUGAAGGGCAGUUCACCUCCUCCCUGUGGACCUUGUAGAUGCUCUCCUCCUCCUCUUCCUCCUGUGGCUUGUCUCCUGACAGGCGAGCCUCUUUCUCCGUUUUCCACUUCUGCACCGCCUCCACCACAGCUGAUCGACACACAACAAACGACACACGACGUUCGCAUCAUGGCCACAACACCGGAUGGAUUGUCUCAACAAAUAAUUGAUUGGUGUGUGAGGAAUUGUUAUAAUGGGAUAAAGGGUUAAUAUUUAGUGUAUUAUAGAAUCUGAAUUCAUUCAUGACAAAAUAGUCCCACUGUAAAUGUCAUAAAUAUAUAAUUGUAGGUGUAGAAAAAAUAAUCUGAUGUUUAUAUGCGGUUAAUUAUUGUGAAUGUAUAAAUAAUUAUAUAAUUGGACGGUAUGAAUCAUAAAAUGAUCUGAUUGAAUGGACAAUUCAAAUAAUUAAACUGCAUUCAUGAUAAAAUAAUCUAUAGACACAAAUCCAUAAUCGGAAGGCGGAUAUAACAAAUAACCAUAUAAAUAAAGAAUAACCAGACCUUGCUUCUCGUACUGAGCCUCCAGAGGCAGCAGCACUCCGUCGUCUUCGUCUCUGUAGCCGUAAUACUCUGCGUCCACUUCUUUCAUCAGAUCCCCCCUCGUCUUCCUCAGCGCCGGGGCAGCUGGGAGUCACACGAUCAGAGAGGACCAAUCAGACAAGUGCCGACUUGAUGUAAAAACAGGAAGUGAAGACGUAAGGUUACAUACGUUCCUUCUCAAACAGCUCCCUGACCCCGGGCAGGUCUCUGGCCGCGCCAAAGUAUUUGUACCCUCGGUUUCCUGGAACUUCCUUCCCCUCGUGGUCCAACAUCCUCGGACCGACUCGCUGAAAACACAACAAACACGAGCGGGUAAUCGCACAACAUCUCACCAACACGAGGUCAACAACACAAAUAUUUAUUUACCUUGUAGUCCGGUCCUCUCAGCUCUUUGAUCCGGACCUCCCAGUGACCUUUCUCCCUCAACAGCUUGUUGAUCUCAUCGUUUAAGUCCCGAAUCUUGAACUCCCCGAGACCGGCUGCAGACAGACAGGUCGGAGGGAUACAGGUUAGAGACAGACAGCGUGUCUGGGAUCUCUCACAGUUUAUCAAUAUUUGUUGAGUUAUUUUUUUUUAAUAAAUACUCACCAUUCUGGA